GGCACUAUCAAUUUGGAGACAUGUCUCAGAAUUUUUCUCAUAUUGCCUAAGCCUGAGAAUUUUAAAGGAGCUUACCCAAAGUCAUAUACCCUGGAAAUAUAGAUUUAGAGACUCUAGCUUAUAUAGAAGAUGAGAUUAGAAGCAGUCUUGGAGAGGGAAUAUUUGAAGGGAAAUUGGCUGAGAAUUCUUCUGAACUAAGAGAGAUGAUAUAUGAAUCUUUAGAUAGUGUAUUUCAAGUUUCAAGUACCUUAAAUAAAAUGAAUCCACCUUAGAGUGAACUUGCAGAGUAUCAAGGGUAAUAAGAAAAAUCUCAAAGGCAAGCUAAUCCCAAAGAAAGACUGUCUACCAAGAAAAUUAUAUUUCCAGUAGACUUCCAUCUGUAAUCAUCAAUUUUAUUUUUUUAAUUUUUUUUAAUCAUCAAUUUUAGAGGACAAUGAAGUAAGCACCUUCAAAGUCCUGAGGGAAAAUAACUGAAAACCUACAAUUCUACUCUCAGCUAAAUGGCUAUUCAAAGGCCAAGGAUGUUAAGAAGUGGAUAGCCCUUGCAUAUGCACUUUUUCUGUCUUGAUGGAUACAACUGACAGAGUCAAGAGGAAGGCAGGGCCCCGAGAUAAAAGAAGCCUGUGUCUCUGAAUUGCCUCAAAAA
Canis lupus familiaris (dog) is the source of this 646-nucleotide long non-coding RNA. RefSeq lists it as uncharacterized. The transcript is spliced from 2 exons. The record is from RefSeq and is a predicted model, not a curated record. Lineage: Eukaryota; Metazoa; Chordata; Mammalia; Carnivora; Canidae.